RNAcentral lists this non-coding RNA (30 nucleotides) under Mus musculus (house mouse). The record is from RNAcentral. Lineage: Eukaryota; Metazoa; Chordata; Mammalia; Rodentia; Muridae.
UAGACAUAUGUUUAUUACCAUGACAUUGUC